RNAcentral lists this non-coding RNA (29 nucleotides) under Rattus norvegicus (Norway rat). Lineage: Eukaryota; Metazoa; Chordata; Mammalia; Rodentia; Muridae. The record is from RNAcentral.
UUGGAAAACAUAUCCAGUCUUUGUUGCCA